This 69-nucleotide transfer RNA is filed under the name Gennadas parvus. Its description in RNAcentral is "tRNA-Lys". Lineage: Eukaryota; Metazoa; Arthropoda; Malacostraca; Decapoda; Benthesicymidae. The record is from RNAcentral.
CACCAGAUGACUGAAAGUAAGUGUAGGUCUUUUAAACCUAUUAUAGUCAGUAACGCCGACUUCUGGUGA